AGUGAACGCUGGCGGUAUGCCUAACACAUGCAAGUCGAACGGCAGCACAUAGGAGCUUGCUCCUUGGGUGGCGAGUGGCGGACGGGUGAGGAAUACAUAGGAAUCUACUCUGUCGUGGGGGAUAACGUAGGGAAACUUACGCCAAUACCGCAUACGACCUACGGGUGAAAGCAGGGGACCUUCGGACCUUGCGCGAUUGCAUGAACCGAUGUCGGAUUAGCUGGUUGGCGGGGUAACGGCCCACCAAGGGGAAGAUCCGUAGCUGGUUGGAGAGGAUGAUCAGCCACACGGGAACUGAGACACGGUCCAGACUCCUACGGGAGGCAGCAGUGGGGAAUAUUGGACAAUGGGCGCAAGCCUGAUCCAGCCAUACCGCGUGGGUGAAGAAGGCCUUCGGGUUGUAAAGCCCUUUUGUUGGGAAAGAAAUCCGGCUGGCUAAUACCCGGUUGGGAUGACGGUACCCAAAGAAUAAGCACCGGCUAACUUCGUGCCAGCAGCCGCAGUAA
Molecule: ribosomal RNA, 506 nt
Filed under: uncultured bacterium
Lineage: Bacteria
Description: partial 16S ribosomal RNA
Rfam family: Bacterial small subunit ribosomal RNA
Source: RNAcentral